GUCACAAAUUUUUUUCGGUUACAAUUCAAAAAUUUUAUAGAUCACAGUUUGUUCGUCGAUCACAAAUAAAAAGGUUUAUGAGUCACGAUUUAUUUAUUGGUCAUAAAUUACAAAUAUUACAAGUCAUAAUUUAUUAUACAGUCACAAAUUAUCAAAUUAUCAGUCAUAAAUGAACAAUUUUUUGGGUCACAUUAUUUCUUUGUUACAAUUUAUAUUUUUUAUUGGUCACGGAUUGUUUAUUGGUCACAAAUUAACUAAUUUAAUGGUCACAUUCAAUCAACUAAUUUGUGACCACCAUUGACACCUGCGACACCACCUCACCAUUGCCUCUAGCAGUAGCACCACCAUCGUCGUUGCUGUCGCCACUAGCACCACCAUCGUCGCUCCUGUCGCCACUACCACCACCAUCAGACAGCAAUACCACCACCACAAACAAUCAACACAUCCUAGAAAAACAUCAUUAUAUCAUCGUGCCAAAUUCACCACCACCUCGACAAAUCCAUUUGCCACUGCACCCACCGCUUCGAUUGCCACCGCCAAAAUAUAAAAGCUGCCACCGCCACCACUCCAACAACCAAACCAAUGUCUCACAGCCAUUAAACCAUCUGUACCACCAUCGCAUUGCAAACGCCAUAUCCACAACCAUCACCACAACAUCCAAAUCUGCUACCGCCAGAUCCACCAUCUUCACCGCAACCACUCACCGUACGCCGCUGUCGCCAGAUCCACCACCACCUGCACCAACUACAGCUUCACAUCAAUGCGUUGUCUGAUCACCAUCAUCGCGCUUCACAAAGUUGCGCCACCACAUCCGCCACUACAAAACCGCUACCACACAACACUAUCACCACCACCACAAAAAAAAAACCCAAAUCUCUGGUGCACUGUCGGCGCAGCAAGGCUACAUCUGUUCGCGGUGAUUCGUACUUCUUUUGGCCAGCGAUUCGCAUUCAUUCUAGGGUGAAAAAGAUUGAGGGGUAAGUGAUGGGACUGGGCGACGACGGUGAUUGGCGGUGAGCCUCAUAACCACCAUCACCCAACGCACAACUGUGAGGUGGGGGUGGUACCGUGCUGGUCACUUAGGAUUAGCCUUCGCGAUGGUAGGAUGGGAUGGUGACGGUGGGUUGUUAUACACUCAUACCCAAGACUGUGAGGUGGGGUGGUGUCGGGAGAGUUGGUGCCGCGCCGAUGAUGGCGCCGAUAUUAGUUGAGUCUAGGGGAGAGAGAGAGAUUGAGGGAGAGAGAAUUGAAACUAGGGUUAAGGGCGUGUGUGUGGGUUGGGGUAAAAUGAUA
RNAcentral lists this long non-coding RNA (1293 nucleotides) under Olea europaea subsp. europaea. The record is from RNAcentral. Lineage: Eukaryota; Viridiplantae; Streptophyta; Magnoliopsida; Lamiales; Oleaceae.